This 318-nucleotide ribosomal RNA is filed under the name uncultured Bacillus sp. RNAcentral describes it as "bacterial SSU rRNA". It matches the Rfam family "Bacterial small subunit ribosomal RNA", at positions 28 to 334 of the family's 1533-position model. The record is from RNAcentral. Lineage: Bacteria; Bacillati; Bacillota; Bacilli; Caryophanales; Bacillaceae.
GAUGAACGCUGGCGGCGUGCCUAAUACAUGCAAGUCGAGCGAACUGAUUAGAAGCUUGCUUCUAUGACGUUAGCGGCGGACGGGUGAGUAACACGUGGGCAACCUGCCUGUAAGACUGGGAUAACUCCGGGAAACCGGAGCUAAUACCGGAUAACAUUUUCUCUUGCAUAAGAGAAAAUUGAAAGAUGGUUUCGGCUAUCACUUACAGAUGGGCCCGCGGUGCAUUAGCUAGUUGGUGAGGUAACGGCUCACCAAGGCAACGAUGCAUAGCCGACCUGAGAGGGUGAUCGGCCACACUGGGACUGAGACACGGCCCAG